RNAcentral lists this ribosomal RNA (448 nucleotides) under uncultured bacterium. Its description in RNAcentral is "partial 16S ribosomal RNA". It matches the Rfam family "Bacterial small subunit ribosomal RNA", at positions 329 to 792 of the family's 1533-position model. The record is from RNAcentral.
GGCCAGACUCCUACGGGAGGCAGCAGUGGGGAAUAUUGCACAAUGGGGGGAACCCUGAUGCAGCGACGCCGCGUGGGCGAGGAAGUAUUUCGGUAUGUAAAGCCCUAUCGGCAGGGAAGAAGAAAUGACGGUACCUGAAUAAGAAGCACCGGCUAAAUACGUGCCAGCAGCCGCGGUAAUACGUAUGGUGCAAGCGUUAUCCGGAUUUACUGGGUGUAAAGGGGGCGCAGACGGCAGCGCAAGCCAGGAGUGAAAGCCCGGGGCCCAACCCCGGGACUGCUCUUGGAACUGCGCGGCUGGAGUGCAGGAGGGGCAGGCGGAAUUCCUAGUGUAGCGGUGGAAUGCGUAGAUAUCGGGAGGAACACCAGUGGCGAGGGCGGCCUGCUGGACAUUAACUGACGCUGAGGCGCGAAAGCGUGGGGAGCAAACAGGAUUAGAUACCCGUGUA